Molecule: non-coding RNA, 88 nt
Filed under: Pseudomonas antarctica
Lineage: Bacteria; Pseudomonadati; Pseudomonadota; Gammaproteobacteria; Pseudomonadales; Pseudomonadaceae
Source: RNAcentral
UGUUAUGGCGGCUGUGCGCGGGGCACUUUGGGGUGCGCCGGGUUCCUAGAUCCAAGGUCUUCCCCACCUGCGUACAGUCGCCACCCAU